Molecule: ribosomal RNA, 233 nt
Filed under: uncultured bacterium
Lineage: Bacteria
Description: partial 16S ribosomal RNA
Rfam family: Bacterial small subunit ribosomal RNA
Source: RNAcentral
GCUAGCGGCAGGCUUAAUACAUGCAAGUCGUGGGGCAGCAUGAGUAGCAAUACUUGAUGGCGACCGGCAAACGGGUGCGGAACACGUACACAACCUUCCUACAAGUGGGGAAUAGCCCAGAGAAAUUGGGAUUAAUCCCCCGUAACAUAUAGAGAUGGCAUCAUUUUUAUAUUAUAGCUACCGCGCUUGUUGAUGGGUGUGCGGCUGAUUAGGUAGUUGGCGGGGUAACGGCC